GAGAAAGAAAAAACUAGAACUGCUAACUCUACAUUCCACGGUUGACACUGUGGCUUUUUCA
Molecule: transfer RNA, 61 nt
Filed under: Coendou insidiosus
Lineage: Eukaryota; Metazoa; Chordata; Mammalia; Rodentia; Erethizontidae
Description: tRNA-Ser
Source: RNAcentral